ACGCUGGCGGCGUGCUUAACACAUGCAAGUCGAACGGAAAGGCCCUGCUUGCAGGGUACUCGAGUGGCGAACGGGUGAGUAACACGUGGGUGAUCUGCCCUGCACUUCGGGAUAAGCCUGGGAAACUGGGUCUAAUACCGGAUAGGAGCCAUUUUUAGUGUGAUGGUUGGAAAGUUUUUUCGGUGUAGGAUGAGCUCGCGGCCUAUCAGCUUGUUGGUGGGGUAAUGGCCUACCAAGGCGGCGACGGGUAGCCGGCCUGAGAGGGUGGACGGCCACAUUGGGACUGAGAUACGGCCCAGACUCCUACGGGAGGCAGCAGUGGGGAAUAUUGCACAAUGGGCGCAAGCCUGAUGCAGCGACGCCGCGUGGGGGAUGACGGCCUUCGGGUUGUAAACUCCUUUCGCUAGGGACGAAGCUUUUUG
Molecule: ribosomal RNA, 422 nt
Filed under: Corynebacterium sp. R-45927
Lineage: Bacteria; Bacillati; Actinomycetota; Actinomycetes; Mycobacteriales; Corynebacteriaceae
Description: bacterial SSU rRNA
Rfam family: Bacterial small subunit ribosomal RNA
Source: RNAcentral